Molecule: ribosomal RNA, 474 nt
Filed under: Neisseria sicca
Lineage: Bacteria; Pseudomonadati; Pseudomonadota; Betaproteobacteria; Neisseriales; Neisseriaceae
Description: bacterial SSU rRNA
Rfam family: Bacterial small subunit ribosomal RNA
Source: RNAcentral
AUUGAACGCGGCGGCAUGCUUUACACAUGCAAGUCGGACGGCAGCACAGAGAAGCUUGCUUCUUGGGUGGCGAGUGGCGAACGGGUGAGUAACAUAUCGGAACGUACCGAGCAGUGGGGGAUAACUAAUCGAAAGAUUAGCUAAUACCGCAUAUCUUCUGAGGAAGAAAGCAGGGGACCAUUUGGCCUUGCGCUGUUUGAGCGGCCGAUAUCUGAUUAGCUAGUUGGUGGGGUAAAGGCCUACCAAGGCGACGAUCAGUAGCGGGUCUGAGAGGAUGAUCCGCCACACUGGGACUGAGACACGGCCCAGACUCCUACGGGAGGCAGCAGUGGGGAAUUUUGGACAAUGGGCGAAAGCCUGAUCCAGCCAUGCCGCGUGUCUGAAGAAGGCCUUCGGGUUGUAAAGGACUUUUGUCAGGGAAGAAAAGGGCGGGGUUAAUACCCCUGUCUGAUGACGGAACCUGAAGAAUAAAGC